UGGGGAAUAUUGCACAAUGGGGGAAACCCUGAUGCAGCAACGCCGCGUGAAGGAUGAAGGUUUUCGGAUUGUAAACUUCUUUUAUUGGGGAAGAUAAUGACGGUACCCAAUGAAUAAGCCACGGCUAACUACGUGCCAGCAGCCGCGGUAAUACGUAGGUGGCGAGCGUUGUCCGGAAUUACUGGGUGUAAAGGGCGUGUAGGCGGGACUACAAGUCAGAUGUGAAAAUUAUGGGCUCAACCCAUAACCUGCAUUUGAAACUGUAGUUCUUGAGUGAUGGAGAGGUAAGCGGAAUUCCCGGUGUAGCGGUGAAAUGCGUAGAGAUCGGGAGGAACACCAGUGGCGAAGGCGGCUUACUGGACAUUAACUGACGCUGAGGCGCGAAAGCGUGGGGAGCAAACA
This is a ribosomal RNA of 402 nucleotides. It matches the Rfam family "Bacterial small subunit ribosomal RNA", at positions 355 to 774 of the family's 1533-position model.